This 443-nucleotide long non-coding RNA is filed under the name Elaeis guineensis (African oil palm). RNAcentral describes it as "long non-coding RNA (EGUI_LNC069729)". The record is from RNAcentral. Lineage: Eukaryota; Viridiplantae; Streptophyta; Magnoliopsida; Arecales; Arecaceae.
GUGGCGAUGCCCGUCUCCUUGGGCCCAUCCCCAUCGGCUGUGGCCAUCAUCCUUGUUGAGGUGCAAGCACCUCAGCCAUCCAUGGCUCAUGCUCUGACCCCUCCUAUUAUUACAAAGUGGUGGUUUCGUACACGUAGUUUAAAAAUUUUGAUAAAUCAGAAUUUAUGCAGUAAAAAUAAAAUAAAUUAAAACUUUUUUAAUUUAAAUCACAUAUCAGAUCGGAUUUGAAAAUCAUGCUUAGAAUCUUGAUACGAACAUGUCACCAUGAAUCUGAAAUCAAAACAAAAGGUCAGUAAAGUAAAUUCGAUGGUAUCCACACGAAGAUGCCUGAUCGGAGCACCAACACCUUAUGGGUCUCGCUCCUCUGCUUUAGAUCUUACCCCAUUGCUAUUAGAAACAAUUGAACAGGGCCUUGUACAAGCCCUUUGUGCUGAAUCGCAGGG